UACGUAGGGGGCAAGCGUUGUCCGGAUUUAUUGGGCGUAAAGAGCGUGUAGGCGGCCAUACAGGUCAGCUGUGAAAACUCGAGGCUCAACCUCGAGACGUCGGUUGAAACCGUAUGGCUAGAGUCCGGAAGAGGAGAGUGGAAUUCCCGGUGUAGCGGUGAAAUGCGCAGAUAUCGGGAGGAACACCGGUGGCGAAGGCGGUUCUCUGGGCCUGUACUGACGCUGAGGAGCGAAAGCGUGGGGAGCGAACAGG
Molecule: ribosomal RNA, 253 nt
Filed under: uncultured bacterium
Lineage: Bacteria
Description: partial 16S ribosomal RNA
Rfam family: Bacterial small subunit ribosomal RNA
Source: RNAcentral